Ruditapes philippinarum (Manila clam) is the source of this 786-nucleotide long non-coding RNA. RefSeq lists it as uncharacterized. NCBI's taxonomy places the organism in Eukaryota, Metazoa, Mollusca, Bivalvia, Venerida, Veneridae. The record is from RefSeq and is a predicted model, not a curated record. The transcript has 2 exons.
ACCUAGGGUUAAUGAGAUGAACAUAUGAUCUUAUCAGAUGACCAAGCAGAACGCUAAAAGUAUCCUAUCAGAGUGGCCGCAGUUAACUUCUCUUAAUUUAUGUGUUUAUGUGUUAAUUAUUAGAAUUAGGAUUUAUUCAAUUAUUCUUGUUAAAUGGAUUAAUACAAUUACGUAAUAACUUUUGUAAAAUGGAUUAAAUACCGGAUUUGUUUGUAAUUUGAUUUAAAGUGGCAAUGUUUUGGAUAUAACAAUUGCCUUCUGCUUUUGAUUUGAUUAUCCAUUUAUAUUUUCCACAUGGAUUGCUACAAGAAUGGGCAAAGUGUUCAGUUCCAGUAGGGAAUUUCACUUUUCAAGAAGCCCAACAGUCGCUAUAACCAGUACAGUAGGUACUGAGGCGUACUGCGACGACCCCAGAGUUUGCGGACAGUAGGUCCAAUAUUAACUCUGCAACAGAUUAGGAAAAUCUGUUUCGUCAUCAUGGAAUGAUGGACAACAGUAUGAAGCCUUGGCCAUCUGCAACACAGAUGAUUGACCUUCCAAGUUUUAUGCUACAACUACUACUACAACAACAAAGACAAUAUUGCUUUAACUUGAAGUUAACAAGACAUAAAAUUAAUAAUAUACUAUUUAACAAUUUAAUUUCUUGAGCCGCGAACAUACCAAAUUCAUGUUUCUUAGGCCAACGAAAUGCACAUGUCACAGCUUAUAAUUUAUAAGACUCUUAUUCUAUUAGUGAAAAAGAUCUGCAGUAUCUCACUGUUUUAAAUCUUACUUGAUAUAAGAAAA